ACUGCGGUUCCGCCGUGCCAAGGGGAGCUUGGCUGUUCACGGGCCUCACCUGCUAGCGAGAAGAUAGCUUGGCCGGGCGGCUGAUCUCACCUUGUAAUUCUGACACUGUGUCUCCCGGGCUUGUCGGCUUCAUGACUUGUGCCCAAAGUUUGAUUUCUCGCAGACCAGGAGGACCCAUUGGACCCCCGGGCUGGCUGCAGGGCCCACACCUGGGUUAGACCUCGCACAGGGACGCUGCUGCCACUGUAAUAAAGCGUGCCUACACGCUUCUGAAACUGGUGUAGGAACAACCUCAGUUCUGUGAAAGGCGGACGCAGCAGGACAGAAUCUCCGUGGACAUCUGUCUGGAGGAGCAAUUUUACUGCGACAUUUUAAAGAAACAAAUUUAAUUGAUUUCCAAGGGUGUCCAUCGCGCUUCCUUCACUGCCUUGAUCAUGUCGGGGUCACCACCUGCGGGGGUUUGUCCUGCAGACCCUGACUCAACGACGGAUGAAUAAUGUACACUGACACAGAUCUUAUGCUUGUCAGUCCUGCUGAGCAUCCAGGCCACUUACAGACUCCAAGAAGAGUCCUGUCAGCCACGGCUCUGACUUGUUGGCCCUCCCGGCAUUUAUUUAGCACACAUUUAAUGACAGAAGUCUCAGGCUGGAAACACUCUUUUUGUAGAACAUACAAAUGGACAUUUCUAAGCACAUUGAGGCCUAUAAUGAAAAAUCAAAUAUCCCACAAUGAAAACUAGAAGGAAGCUAUCUGUGAUAAUGCUUUGUGGUGUAUGGAUUCAUCUCACUGACUGAAACCUGAGUUUUGAUUCACCAGGUUGCAAACACUCUUUUUGCAGAAUCUAUGAAGGAACAUUUCUGAACCAAUUUUGGCCUAUAGUGGAAAACUGAACAUUCUGUGAUAUAAACUAGAGAAAAGAUAUCUGUGAAAAUGCUUUGCAAUGUGUGGAUUCAUCUCACUGGAUGGAACCUAUGCUUUGAUUUAGUAGGUUGGAAAUACUCAUUUUGUAGAAUCUACAAAGGAUAUUUCUGAGCCCCUUUGAGCCUGUAGUGAAAAAUCAAGGAUCCCAUGAAGAAAAACAGAAAAACACUAUCUGUCAAAAUGCUUAUUGGUGUGUGGAUUCUUCUUACCAAAUGGAACCUGUGUUUUGAUUCACCAGGUUGGAAACACUUUUUUGUAGAGUCUAUGAAGGGACAUUUCUCAGCCCAUUGAGGCCUAUAGUGAUGAACAAAAUAUCCCAUAAUAGAAGCUAGAAAAAAGCUAUUUCCAAAAAUGCUUUGCAAUGUGUGGAUUUAUCUUACAGAAUUAAACCUUUAUUUUGAUUUGACAGUCUGCAAACACUUUUUUUUGUAGAAAGUACAGAGGGACAUUUCUGAGACCAUCAAGAACUAUAGUAAAAAAAUCAAACAA
This is a long non-coding RNA of Homo sapiens (human), 1410 nucleotides long. Ensembl annotates it as long intergenic non-protein coding RNA 662. The record is from Ensembl. Lineage: Eukaryota; Metazoa; Chordata; Mammalia; Primates; Hominidae.